UUGAUCCUGGCUCAGGAUGAACGCUAGCGACAGGCUUAACACAUGCAAGUCGAGGGGCAGCACAGGUAGCAAUACCGGGUGGCGACCGGCGCACGGGUGAGUAACGCGUAUGCAACUUGCCUAUCAGAGGGGGAUAACCCGGCGAAAGUCGGACUAAUACCGCAUGAAGCAGGGGCCCCGCAUGGGGAUAUUUGCUAAAGAUUCAUCGCUGAUAGAUAGGCAUGCGUUCCAUUAGGCAGUUGGCGGGGUAACGGCCCACCAAACCGACGAUGGAUAGGGGUUCUGAGAGGAAGGUCCCCCACAUUGGUACUGAGACACGGACCAAACUCCUACGGGAGGCAGCAGUGAGGAAUAUUGGUCAAUGGGCGCAGGCCUGAACCAGCCAAGUAGCGUGAAGGAUGACUGCCCUAUGGGUUGUAAACUUCUUUUAUACGGGAAUAAAGUUAGCCACGUGUGGCUUUUUGUAUGUACCGUAUGAAUAAGGAUCGGCUAACUCCGUGCCAGCAGCCGCGGUAAUACGGAGGAUCCGAGCGUUAUCCGGAUUUAUUGGGUUUAAAGGGAGCGUAGGCGGGUUGUUAAGUCAGUUGUGAAAGUUUGCGGCUCAACCGUAAAAUUGCAGUUGAUACUGGCGACCUUGAGUGCAACAGAGGUAGGCGGAAUUCGUGGUGUAGCGGUGAAAUGCUUAGAUAUCACGAAGAACUCCGAUUGCGAAGGCAGCUUACUGGAUUGUAACUGACGCUGAUGCUCGAAAGUGUGGGUAUCAAACAGGAUUAGAUACCCUGGUAGUCCACACAGUAAACGAUGAAUACUCGCUGUUGGCGAUAUACAGUCAGCGGCCAAGCGAAAGCAUUAAGUAUUCCACCUGGGGAGUACGCCGGCAACGGUGAAACUCAAAGGAAUUGACGGGGGCCCGCACAAGCGGAGGAACAUGUGGUUUAAUUCGAUGAUACGCGAGGAACCUUACCCGGGCUUAAAUUGCAACUGACUGAACCGGAAACGGUUCUUUCUUCGGACAGUUGUGAAGGUGCUGCAUGGUUGUCGUCAGCUCGUGCCGUGAGGUGUCGGCUUAAGUGCCAUAACGAGCGCAACCCUUAUCGAUAGUUACUAGCAGGUCAUGCUGAGGACUCUAUUGAGACUGCCGUCGUAAGAUGUGAGGAAGGUGGGGAUGACGUCAAAUCAGCACGGCCCUUACGUCCGGGGCUACACACGUGUUACAAUGGGGGGUACAGAAGGCAGCUACACGGCGACGUGGUGCUAAUCCCGAAAGCCUCUCUCAGUUCGGAUUGGAGUCUGCAACCCGACUCCAUGAAGCUGGAUUCGCUAGUAAUCGCGCAUCAGCCACGGCGCGGUGAAUACGUUCCCGGGCCUUGCACUCACCGCCCGUCA
RNAcentral lists this ribosomal RNA (1386 nucleotides) under uncultured bacterium. Its description in RNAcentral is "16S ribosomal RNA". It matches the Rfam family "Bacterial small subunit ribosomal RNA". The record is from RNAcentral.